Molecule: ribosomal RNA, 442 nt
Filed under: uncultured bacterium
Lineage: Bacteria
Description: partial 16S ribosomal RNA
Rfam family: Bacterial small subunit ribosomal RNA
Source: RNAcentral
CUACGGGGUGCAGCAGCAAGGAAUAUUGCGCAAUGGGCGAAAGCCUGACGCAGCGACACCGCGUGAAGGAUGAAGGCCUUCGGGUUGUAAACUUCUUUUCUCAAGGAAGAAUAAAAUGACGGUACUUGAGGAAUAAGUCCCGGCUAACUACGUGCCAGCAGCCGCGGUAAUACGUAGGGGGCGAACGUUAUCCGGAUUUACUGGGCGUAAAGAGCGCGUAGGCGGUCUGGCAAGUCGGUUGUAAAAUCUCCUGGCUCAACUAGGAGGGACCAUCCGAUACUUCCAGACUGGAGGUCAGCAGAGGUAAGUGGAAUUCCCGGUGUAGUGGUGAUAUGCGUAGAUAUCGGGAGGAACACCAGUGGCGAAGGCGGCUUACUGGGCUGCACCUGACGCUGAGGCGCGAAAGCGUGGGGAGCGAACAGGAUUAGAUACCCUCGUAGUC